This 230-nucleotide ribosomal RNA is filed under the name uncultured bacterium. RNAcentral's name for it is "partial 16S ribosomal RNA". It matches the Rfam family "Bacterial small subunit ribosomal RNA", at positions 562 to 791 of the family's 1533-position model. The record is from RNAcentral.
AAAGCGUGCGCAGGCGGUUCGGAAAGAAGGAUGUGAAAUCCCAGGGCUUAACCUUGGAACUGCAUUCUUAACUACCGGGCUAGAGUAUGUCAGAGGGGGGUGGAAUUCCGCGUGUAGCAGUGAAAUGCGUAGAUAUGCGGAGGAACACCGAUGGCGAAGGCAAUCCCCUGGGCCUGUACUGACGCUCAUGCACGAAAGCGUGGGGAGCAAACAGGAUUAGAUACCCUUGU